Molecule: ribosomal RNA, 255 nt
Filed under: uncultured bacterium
Lineage: Bacteria
Description: partial 16S ribosomal RNA
Rfam family: Bacterial small subunit ribosomal RNA
Source: RNAcentral
UACGGGGGGGGGCAAGCGUUGUUCGGAAUUACUGGGCGUAAAGGGCUCGUAGGCGGCCAACUAAGUCAUACGUGAAAUCCCUCGGCUUAACCGGGGAACUGCGUCUGAUACUGGAUGGCUUGAGUUCGGGAGAGGGAUGCGGAAUUCCAGGUGUAGCGGUGAAAUGCGUAGAUAUCUGGAGGAACACCGGUGGCGAAGGCGACAUCCUGGACCGGUAUUGACGCUGAGGCGCGAAAGCCAGGGGAGCAAACGGGG